ACCUACGGGAGGCAGCAGUGGGGAAUAUUGCACAAUGGGGGAAACCCUGAUGCAGCGACGCCGCGGGAGUGAAGAAGUAAUUCGUUAUGUAAAGCUCUAUCAGCAGGGAAGAAAAUGACGGUACCUGAGUAAGAAGCCCCGGCUAACUACGUGCCAGCAGCCGCGGUAAUACGUAGGGGGCAAGCGUUAUCCGGAUUUACUGGGUGUAAAGGGAGCGUAGGUGGCUGGGCAAGUCAGAUGUGAAAACCCGGGGCUCAACCCCGGGAGUGCAUUUGAAACUGUCCAGCGGGAGUGCAGGAGAGGUA
Molecule: ribosomal RNA, 305 nt
Filed under: uncultured bacterium
Lineage: Bacteria
Description: bacterial SSU rRNA
Rfam family: Bacterial small subunit ribosomal RNA
Source: RNAcentral